GAUGAACGCUAGCGGCAGGCCUAACACAUGCAAGUCGGGCGGUAGGGGACUUCGGUCCCCGAGAGCGCGUAACGCGUAGGCAACCUGCCCUUUGGAUGGGGACAACAUUCCGAAAGGAGUGCUAAUACCGAAUGUGAUCCAUUUCUCGCAUGAGAGAUGGAUGAAAGAUGGCCUCUAUUUAUAAGCUAUCGCCAAAGGAUGGGCCUGCGUCUGAUUAGUUAGUUGGUGGGGUAACGGCUCACCAAGACGAUGAUCAGUAGCCGGUCUGAGAGGAUGAACGGCCACAUUGGGACUGAGACACGGCCCAAACUCCUACGGGAGGCAGCAGUGGGGAAUCUUCCGCAAUGGACGAAAGUCUGACGGAGCAACGCCGCGUGAGUGAUGAAGGUUUUCGGACUGUAAAACUCUGUUGUCAGGGACGAAGGUGCGAUCUGCGAAUAGUUGAUCGUAUUGACGGUACCUGACGAGGAAGCCACGGCUAACUACGUGCCAGCAGCCGCGGUAAUACGUAGGUGGCAAGCGUUGUCCGGAAUUAUUGGGCGUAAAGAGCAUGUAGGUGGGCUUUUAAGUCCGAUGUGAAGAUGCGGGGCUCAACCCCGUAUGGCAUUGGAUACUGGAAGUCUUGAGUGCAGGAGAGGAAAGGGGAAUUCCCAGUGUAGCGGUGAAAUGCGUAGAUAUUGGGAGGAACACCAGUGGCGAAGGCGCCUUUCUGGACUGUGUCUGACACUGAGAUGCGAAAGCUAGGGUAGCAAACGGGAUUAGAUACCCCGGUAGUCCUAGCCGUAAACGAUGGGUACUAGGUGUAGGGGGUAUCGACCCCCCCUGUGCCGGAGUUAACGCAAUAAGUACCCCGCCUGGGGACUACGGUCGCAAGACUGA
RNAcentral lists this ribosomal RNA (879 nucleotides) under uncultured bacterium. Its description in RNAcentral is "bacterial SSU rRNA". It matches the Rfam family "Bacterial small subunit ribosomal RNA", at positions 28 to 897 of the family's 1533-position model. The record is from RNAcentral.